RNAcentral lists this long non-coding RNA (4975 nucleotides) under Anas zonorhyncha (Eastern spot-billed duck). Its description in RNAcentral is "lncRNA (ENSAZOG00000019269.1)". The record is from RNAcentral. Lineage: Eukaryota; Metazoa; Chordata; Aves; Anseriformes; Anatidae.
CCAGCCCCAAAACCCCAGAUCCAGCCCCAAAACCCCCAGAUCCGACCCCAAAAGCCCCAGAUCCAGCCCUAAAACCCCCAGAUCCAGCCCCAAAACCCGCAGCUCCCCCCCUCCCCAGACCCGGCAUCCAUUUCCCGCUCAUUCCCGGCGCGGGCGCGGGAACCUGGCCACGCCCCUUUCCCCUCCAGGCCACGCCCCCUUUUCCUCUUACCCCGCCCCUCUCGCGUCACACGCGCCGCGUGACGUCACACGNNNNNNNNNNCGCGAGCGGGGGCGGAGCCUGAGGCGAGCGGGGGGCGUGGCCUCGGCGCUUGGCCCCGCCUCCAGCAGCUCCUCGAGCCGGGGGGAGGAGCCGGCUGUGCCGAUGGGCGGGGCUCUUCUCCGGCGGCGGCGGCUGCGCGCGAAGCUCGGCGCAUGCGCGGCGCGGCCCGGCGUGGCGCAGGGGGAGGCGGCUGCGCGCAUGCGCGGGGGGCCCACGGGGCUGCCGGCCAUGGAGCGGAAAGUGCUGGCGCUGCAGGCUCGGAAGAAGCGGACCAAGGCCAAGAAGGAGAAGNNNNNNNNNNNNNNNNNNNNNNNNNNNNNNNNNNNNNNNNNNNNNNNNNNNNNNNNNNNNNNNNNNNNNNNNNNNNNNNNNNNNNNNNNNNNNNNNNNNNNNNNNNNNNNNNNNNNNNNNNNCCCCCCCUCAGCACCGCCGGGUGGGGCCGUGACGGGAACAAGGCCCUGAGGGGGGGUCUCGGCCUCCAGGGGGGGGUCUCGGGGUGUGUGUGUGGGGGUCUCGGUUCCUCCUCACGGGGAGCCCCCCCGGUGGUGGUUCCGUUGGGUGGGGGCCGGGCGGUAACGGAGCCCCCUGAGGGGCUUUGGGGGGGGUCCGAGCCCCAGCUGGGGGCUGCAGGCACCCGUCUGCCCCCCCCCAGAGCGGCCCCGUAACCGCUGUUGGCAGGCACCGGGCUCCCUCUGCUCCCCUUCCCCCUUUUUCCAACUCUUACAGUAGGAGCCCAGCGCCUCGUUCGUUCCUUCUCUAACUUUGAUGCUCUCCUGCGGCUCCCUUCCCACCGCAGGAAUCUCGCAGGGCCCUCGGUGUGGUGAGCGGCUGGGUGCCGAUAGGAGAAAUUAAAGGAUCUGCAGUAAACGCCAAACAAUGGCUUCCAGCGGGCCGCCUGAAGUGCUGCGUUCAUCGCCGCUUACGGGUUCCUUCCCAGUGAGCGGUGAUGUAAAUCCCCGACCCGUUCUGUAAAUGCCCUUUAUUUCUGUAAGGAUUCCGUUUACACUUGCCAGUGCACAAAGUGAGGCUUGCGGUGGGCAGGAGGUUCAGGGUGCCUUCCUUCAGACCCGUAACGCUUCCUUAGUCACUUCCUCUGACAAAUCCUGUGUCUUUUUGGAACUUUUUGGGUUGGUUUUGUGUCCAGUAAAAGGUUUGGUUCUCAGGCAGGGCUCUGAGGGGUGAAGAGUGUUACUCUCAGCUCUCUGGGAGAUGUGUGUUAUAUUUCCCCACUGUUUUGUACGUUUUCUGGUAUCUUUUGCAGAUAACCUUAGCACAAUUUUUGAAGAGCUUCUCCUUGAUCUUUGUGUCCUAAUUUCCCAAUGAAUAAUCACGUGUUUGGUUUUCUUCUUGCCUACUUUAGUUUUUUUCUCUUGUCCAGCUGCAGACAACCAAUGCUGGCUAUGUUUGCAGUUGCAAGGACUGUUUACAUGUUAAUCCUGAAGCUGUUGAAUGUUAGCUUCCAGUGCUGGCGUGUUUUUAAUAAAUAAAUGAAUGAAUCCUCUUUAACCACAUAGCUGGAGCAGGUCCUGUCCAGGGCCGCUGCUUGAUCUUGCCGCUAACCUUGAUGUGAGGGGAGAAUUAUGCUGCUCAUAAAGUGCUGUGCUUACCUUCUGGAACUAGCUGCUUCAGCUCUGUUUGCCAGUGCUAUUUAUUCGAUCCUACCUCAGAAGUUAAAGAAACUCCCAGGCACUUCAUGCUUUAUGUUGUACAAUGCAAAAGGCCCAGCAUCAGCCUCUGAUUUGGAGGCCCGGCUGCAGAACCGUUAUGCUAUUUAAAUACAAAGCUGCUCUGCUUAAAUCUUCUAAAAUAAGCUCAACUGCAUGGUUGUAAGGCUUUCUCCAUAAAAUCUAAACUUGAAGCCACGUGAAAUGCCCUCUUAAUGCACGAUGUUCAGUGGCAGUUGGUCAGGUCCUUUUCCUAUAUGGAACAGCUGAUUUUAGAAGAUUAGGAUUGGCAAGAGUUAGGAGCUGCCUUGCGGGUAAGUAAAAAUGCAAAGAAUGUUCAGAAGGGAUUUAAAGCAAUUUAAAAUUGUUUUCACUUUGGAGGUGAACUAUACCUGCUUUGUGUUUUUGUUGUCAAUCCAAUCUGGCUAAAAACAAAGAAAAAAAACACUUAAAGUAAUUGUGCAUAGUAUAAAACUAGCAAAUUGUCUCUUUCAUCAUUCAGUAAUGAAAAUUGCAGCUAUUUAGGUUCAGAGAAGAACGGGCUAAAUUGUUUAAACAAAGUAAACCCCUGUAAAUACUAAUUGCAGUUCCAUUUAUAAGAUUUUUUUUAAUGGGAAGGUCAACAAAGUUCUUUGUUCUCUGUGAAUCUUAGUCUGCUCCUCUGUCUUCUUGUCCUACCUUUUUAAAAGCUUUAUUUGAUAUCAAUGAAGGAGUGAGUAUGUGUCCUAAUGUUCUCUUCUACAGAAAGAGCUGGAAAAGCUUCUUGGUACUAUGAAGGCGUGAGGUACCCGUUUCUUCCUGCUCCAAUAAGCUACCCCAAAUCUUCUGGUUGUCUGCAGGAAUCACUAAACCAGCUGUUUCAGAUCUCUGUUUAGGAAGCUUCUCCUAGCCCGAUCGUCUGUCCUGCGUCUGCUGCUGCGGAGCUGGGAGGUUGCUGUGGCUGCGGACCUGUUGCCCAGCUCCAUUUCUGUGAGAGUGGAGGAGGAGGAGGGCAGGGAGAGUGGUAGCUGAACGGCUGGGGGGGACAAAAAGCAAACCUAAAUAGAGAGAUCUUGAGGUCUAACACUGCCUGUUGGGUCGCUUUGUGGCCUUGAGGGAGGCAUUUAUUUAAUUUUCCUUCUCUCUUUUCCAUCAUAAAGGAAAUAGAAAUCAUUUUGAACGAUUUAAAUUCUACAAAACGAGAGGCAAGUUUCUGUUUGGUCUUUAUCGUAUUAUCAGUGUCAGGAAAUGCACAAGUCAAAAAGCUCUAGUCCCUGAUACAACAUGGGGAGUUUGGCAUGUAGGCUACUGCAACAUAGGCUGCUGCCAAAAGAUAAUGUUGCUGAAAGCUAUCUGGAAAGUAUGGGAUAUAUUUUAUUUUAUAUUUUAUCAUUUCGUGAGGUGGGAAGAUCUCUGGCACUAUCAGGUCAUUCCCAAACUUCAAAAAAGCCCCUCUUUGGUUUUCUUUUUUUUUUUUUUUUAAUGAACUUGUAAGCUUCAGUUUUUUUCUUAGUAAAUUUUUCUUAAGUUUAACCAUAAACUUGUCAGGCAGCUGGAUCUGAUGAGGUGAAUUCAAGUGGUUUUUGCUUGAUUGCCAAAAAUCCGGAAUACUUCUGCAUUUCUUAUUUUGAGGCAAUUACUUACCCCUCAGAGCUGAGCAGAUGCCUUAGGUGGUGCUUGGGGAAGCGGGGAGCUUCGCGGUGCUCUCCUGGGGACAGUUCUGGUGCUGCUUUUCCUCCCGUGAAUUUUAGGGAGCUGAAAACACCAUUCCUACAUUGUGGUGUGCUGUGAGCUGUGCUGGGUGGGCAGCAGGGUGCAACGGGUGUGCCGAGUGCUCUGGCUUUCAUCAGCCACAAGGUGGCUGCUGCCGUGCAGGGCCGGUAGCGCAGAGCACGUGUGGCUGUAACAGGCUCGUGGUGCUCCAGGAAGCAGUGUGGGCUAGCAGGAGUUUUUCUGAAGGCUUGGUUUUUGGAGACAAUCCCUGGGUACUGAGUGGGUGGGAACGUUGCUUUGAGUUGGCUCUGGUGCAGGUGGAAGGGCUGGUAACUGGCUGAAGCGGUGCUGGCACGUGCGUUUGGGUAGUUUCAUUUCAAAGUGUCCUUUUGUGUGCUCUGAGUCUCGUGCUGUGUGAAUGACAGCCCAGCAAGUGGGGAAGAUGAGGGAUUUGAUACCAAAUCAUGCUUCUGUUUGAGCUGAAAUGCAAAUAUGGUUGCAUUUUCCUAAUGGCUCUGACUUAUAAUGGAAUUAGGCACUUGUAACUACUAAUGUUGUACUUCUGGUCUGUGGCUGUUUUUUGUCUGCAUUUUCGCAAGCACUCCAUGAUCAAGCUGUUCUUUGUCCUGGAAAAAACAGUCCAGGUUACUUCUGCGAUUAGGACCCAGGGCUUAAAAACCAGGCUAAAAAAAUAACUGUCCAGAUUCAAAGCACAUAGACAAGAAACAGAGCAAGUAGUUGCAUAUUAUAUCUCACUUUUCCUGAAAUGAAGGAAAUAAGUGUAUUAUUAGAACUAGGCUACACGUCUGUCUGCUGUCUAGUUAAUUGGGUAUUUCAUUAAGCCUAGUGUCCUGCUUUAGCAGUGACUUCUGUUCCAGGAAAAGUUGGCCUAGUCGUGCACAAAACCAGUUGUGUGUGUAGGGAGUGAGGGGAUUGAGCUGAGCGAGCCUCUGAGCAGAACAUUUUAUUGCUGUGAGCACGAAUAACUACGAAGGUAAAGGUAGCCAUACAGCUGUAAUGUGUGGUGUGUUCUGAGAAAGGUGCAUGAUUGCAGUGCUUUCUUCUCAUUCGGAGUGCACUGAUGAAUUUGUUUGGCCCUUAUGGGCUUUGUUGAGUGGGAGAUGUUUUUUCACAGGGCUUUAAAUAAUUCUUCAAGCUCCCUUUGCUGCUGGAGGGAGAGCAGUGGCAGAGUUCAGCUGGUACAGUGCCACCAUCCUGAUCCCUCUCCCUCUUCCAAACUGGAUGCCAUAAUCAGCAUCUUCCAGAAGAUGUUUACAAUUAUCUGCAAUUUCCUGGCCAGUCUCUUGUCAUGCGGUGAAGCCUCGCGUCUUUCUUCCUCUGCAACUGAAGACCAGUA